AUCACGCAAGCGCGAAUCAAUAGUGGCAGCCGUUAACAGACAGUUCCUCCCAGGAAAAGGCACCAGAAUUGGAAAUCUGAGACUUACAGGUUGCGAAUCGAGUUCGAGAUAUUUAAUAAGUAUUUAUAAACCUUCCCUAGCCACCCGUCCAUUCUAGCGCUUUCUCCAAUGUUUCACAUCCUCACCGCCGAUAGUCGAGGAAAAGAAGCGUCUCCGUCCAUUGUUAUUACUCACUGCGCAUGUGUCAGAUGUCGGGUGGGACUGCGCAUGCGCAGCAAUACUGCGGCCUGGAUCCGGGGCAUUCACCACGUUCGGGGAUGGGAGCUGAAUAUCUUUGAAAACUUGGAGAUUUUUCUUUUGCUUCAGUUUUUCUACCUUUUUCAGCUGCAACAUCAAGCAGGAUAUUUUAAAUUUGAAAUCAAUGAAGUUGUUUCAGAAUUUCACAGGGUACUAAGAAGAGAUCUCCACAGUUUGGAGUCUGAAACCAAACAUCCCAUCAGGAUCUGACAGAGUUGUCCAAUUUACCAGUACCUGAAUAUCAUUGAAUUUUGAGCAUGGAAAGAAAAAGAACCAUUCAGUGUCAGGAGAAACCAUAUGUGUGUUCUUUGUGUGGACGAGGUUUCAGGCAAUCAUCUGGUCUGUCAAAACAUAAGUGCAAUCAUGCUGGGGAGAAACCAUGGAAAUGCGGGGACUGUGGGAAGGGAUUUAAAUCACCUUCAAAGCUGGAAAUGCACAGACGCAGUCACACUGGGGAGAGGCCAUUCACCUGCACCAGAUGUGGGAAAGGAUUCACUCAAUCAACUCAUCUCCUGAAACACCAGCGAAUCCACACAGGGGAGAGACCAUUUACCUGCUCUCAGUGUGGGAAAGGAUUCACUCAGUCAACUCACCUGCUGGGACAUCACCGUGUUCACACUGGGGAGAGGCCAUUUAUUUGCACUGAGUGUGGGAAGGGCUUCACUCACUCAUCCAACCUGCUAAAACAUAAACGAGUUCACACUGGAGAGAGGCCAUUCAUCUGCUCUGUGUGUGGGAAAGGAUUCACUCAGUUAUCCAGUUUGCUGUCACACCAGCGAGUCCACAUUGGGGAGAGGCCAUUUGCCUGCUCUGAGUGUGGGAGGAGAUUUGCUGUCUCAUCUGACCUGCUAACACACCAGCGUGUCCACAACGAAGAGGGACCUGAAGUGCUGUAAUACUUCUGGGGACCUGAUGUCCCAUCAAUGUGUUCACACUGACAAAAGACUAUUUAAAUGCUCUAACUGGGGCCUGGUUAAAACGAUCAUCUCAACUCCAUAGUACACCAGCGAUUUCACACUGGAGAGAGGACAUUUCAUUGUUCCCAGUGCAAGAAGUGAUACCCUCAGUUAUCCCAUUUGUUGAAACACUAGCGAGUUGAAAAGUGACUACAAACUUUGGAUUUUGUUAAUGGUUGGUAAGGAGGAGGUAUGGAAUGUUGUCUAUUAUUAAAGUUAAUUAUCAACUGAGACUGUAGAAGAUGCAUUCAAAUCAGGGACAUAAGAAUGGAAAUUGCAGAAUCAGUUGUCAAUAUUUUUUCAAUUCUAAUACUAUAUAAGGAUAGUAGAGAAUUGAAGAGUUUUUAAUUGAGAAGAGUUACAGGGAAAGUAGCCACACCUCAGGUACAAAUAAAAAGCAGAUGGGUUACAGUCAGGGGACGGAAAGGGAAUCAGCAGAUAGUGCAUGGUUCCCCUGUGGCCAUUCCUUUAAUAACAGUUAUAUUGUUUUGGAUACUGUUUGGCAGGGGUGACUUAUCAGGGGUAAGCCAUGGGGUACAGGUCUCUUGCACAGAAUCUGUCCCUGUUGCUCAAAUGGGAAAGAAGGGAAAGGAGCAGAGCAUUAGUCGCUGGGGACUCCUUAGUUAGGGGGACAGACAGGUUCUGUGGGAAUGAGAGAGACUCACAGUUGGUGUGUUGCCUCUUAGGAUCCAGGAUUCGGGAUAUCUCUGAUCGUGUUUUGGGAUUUUGGGGAGUGGGAGGGAGCAGCCCCAAAUUGUGGUCGACAUAGGUAUCAAUGACAUAUAUAAGAAAAGGGAUGGGGAUUUUAGGCAGAAAUUUAGGGAGCUAAGAAGCUUAGAGCUAGAACAAACAAAGUUUUUAUCUCUGGUUUGUUACCCGUGCCACAUGCUAACUAGACAAGGAAUAGGGGAGAGAGAGGCAUUGAACACGUGGCUACAGGAAUGGUGCAGGAAGAAGAGUUUCAAAUACUUGGAUAAUUGGGAGUAAGUGGGACCUCUGUAAACAGGAUGGUCGACACCUGAACCAGAAGGAUACCAAUAUUCUUGGGGGUGGGGGCUUGCUUAUACUCUUCGGGAGGGUUUAAACUAAUUCAUCAGGAGGAUGGGAACCUAAAUUGUAGUUCGAGUGACCAGGAGGUUGAGAAGUGACAUCAUAAAUAAUGUUUCAAUGUCACAAUGGUGUACCAGCAGGCAGGACGGUGGUUUGAAGUGUGUCUACUUCGAUGCCAGGAGCAUCCAGAAUAAGGUGGGUGAAUUUGCAGUAUGGGUUGGUACCUGAGACUUCGAUGUUGUGGCUGUUUCGAAGACAUGGAUUCAGCAGGGACAGGAAUGGUUGUUACAGGUUCUGGGAUUUAGAUGUUUCAUUGAGGACAGGAAAGAUGGUAAAAGAGGGAAGCUGUGGCGAUGUUAGUCAAGGACGGUAUUACAAUGGCUGAAAGGGUGUUUGAUGAGGACUCAUCUCCUGAGAUAGUGUGGGCUGAGGUUAGAAACAGGAAAGGAGAGGUCACCCUGUUGGGAGUUUCCUGUAGUCCUCCCAAAUGUUCCAGUGAUGUUGAGGAAAGGAUAGCAAAGAUGAUUCUGGAUAGGAGCGAGAGUAACGGUAGUGUAUUGACUGGAAAUACUAUAGUUCCAGUAUUUUAGAUGGAUUAGCUUUUGUCCAAUGUGUGCAAAAGGGUUUCCUGAUACACUAUGUAGACAGGCCAACAAGGGGUGAGGCCACAUUGGAUUUGGUAUUGGGUAGUGAACUAGACCAGGUGUUAGAUUUGGAGGUAGGUGAGCACUUUGGUGAAAGUGAUCCCAUUUCAGUGACAUUUACUUUAGCGAUAGAAAAGGACAGGUAUAUAUGCCAGGGCAAGAGUUAUAGCUGGGGGAAAGGCAAUUACGAUGCAAUUAGGCAAGAUUUAGGAUGCAUAGAAUGGGGAAGGAAGCUGCAAGAGGUAACACAAUUGAAAUGUGGAGCUUUUUGAAGGAACAGCUUCUGUGUGUUCUUGAUAAACAUGAAGCUGUCAGACAGGGAGGAAAUGGUUGAUCAAGGGAACCGUGGUUUACUAAAGAAGUUGAAUCUCUGGUCAAGAGGAAGAAGGAGGCUUAUGUGAGAAUGAGACAUGAAGGCUCAGUGAAGGUGCUUGAAGUUUCAAGUUAGCCAGGAUGGACCUACAGAGACGGCUUAGAAGAGCCAGGAGAUGACAUGAGAAGUCAUUGGCAGGUAAGUUCAAGGAAAACUUGGCCAUGCUAAAUUGCCAGUAGUGUUAGGUAAGAGGUAAAUGUAGGGGUAUGGGUGGGUUGCGCUUCGGCGGGUUGGUGUGGACUUGUUGGGCCAAAGGGCCUGUUUCCACACUGUAAGUAAUCUAAUCUAAAAAAAACCUAAAGUUUUCUAUAGGUAUAUCAGGAAUUAAAGAAUGACUAAAAUAAGAUUAGGGGCAAUCAAGGAUAAUAGUGGGAAGUUGUGCAUGGAGUCUGAGAAGAUCGGAGAGGCACAAAAUGAAUUCUUUUUUGUCAGUAUUCACACUGGAAAAAGACUAUUGUUAAGGAGAAUACUGAGUUACAGGUUAUUAGACUAGGUGGGAUUGAGGAGUAGUUGUUAGCAAUUCUGGAGAGUAUGAAAAUAGAUAAUCGCCAGAUUUAUCCUAGGAUUCUCUGGGAAGGUAGGGAGGAGAUUGCAAAAGCUUUUGAUCCUUAAUGUCGUCAUUGUCUACAGGAAUAGGGCUAGAAAACUGGAGGAUAGCAAAUGUUGUCCCCUUAUUCUAGAAGGGGAAUAGAGACAGUCCUGCUGGUUUUGGACCAAUAAGCCUUACCUCAGUUCCGGAUAAAGUGUUGGGAAGGGUUAGAAGAGAUUAGGAUUUAUAAUCAUCUAGAGAGGAAUAAGUUGAUAAGGGAUAGUCAACAUUGUUUUGUAAAGCGUAGGUCAUGCCUCACAAACAUUGCGUUCUUUGAGAAGGUGACCAAGCAGGUGGAUGAGGGUAAAAUGGUUGAUGUGGUGUACAUGGAUUUUAGUAAGACAUUUGAUACAGUUGCCCAUGGUAGGCUAUUGCACAAAACACCAAGGAAUGGAAUUGAGGGUGAUUUAGCGGUUUGGAUGGUGUACCACAAGGAUCUGUUUUGGGUCCGCUGCUAUUUGUCAUUUUUAUAAGUGACCUGGAUGAGGGCAUAGAAGGAUGGGUUAGUAAAUUUGCAGAUGACACUAAGGUCAAUGGAGUUGUCGAUAGUGACAAAGGUAGGUUACAAGAAGGAAAUAGAUAAGCUAGGAGAAAGUGAGGACUGCAGAUGCUGGAGACCGGAGUUGAAAAAUGUGAUGCUGGAAAAACACAGCAGGCCAGGCAGCAUCCGAGGAGCAGGAGAAUCGACGUUUCGGGUAUAAGCCCUUCUUCAGGCAUAAGCUGUAGAGCUGGGCUGAGAGGUGUCAAAUGGAGUUUAAAUGCGAAAAAGUGUGAGGCGAUUCACUUUGGAAGGAGUAACAGCAAUACAGAGUAUUGGCGUAAUAGUAAAAUUCAUGGCAGUGUGGAAUGGCAGAGAGGUCUGUGUCCAUGUACAUGAAUCCCUGAAAGUUGGCACCCAAGUUAAUAGGAUUGUUAAGGAGGCACACAGUGUGUUACCUUUUAUUAGCAGAGGGAUUGAGAUUUGGAACCAUAAGGUCAUGUUGCAGCUGUACAAAACUCUGGCGUGGCCACACUUUGAGUAUUGCAUACAGUUCUGGUCACCGCAUUAUAGGAAGGAAGUGGAAGCAUUGGAAAGGGUGCAGAGGAGAUUUACCAUGAUACUGUCUGGUAAAGAGGAAGGUCUUAUGAGGAAAGGUUGAGGGACUUGAGGCUGUUUUUUGUUAGAGAGAAAAAGGUUAAGGGUAGAGUUAACAGACGUAUAAGAUGAUCAGAAGAUUAGAUAGGUUGGACAAUGAGUGCCUUUUUUCCUCGGAUGAUGAUGGCUUAGCACAAGGGGACAUAGUUUUAAACUGAGGGGUGAUAGAUAUAGGACAGAUGUCAGAGGUAGCUUCUUAGAGUAGUAAGGGCAUAGAAUGGCCUGCCUGCAACAGUAGUAGACUCGCCACCUUUAAGGGCAUUUAAAUGGUCAUUGGAUAAACAUGGAUGAAAAUGGAAUAGUGUAGGUUAGAUGGGCUUCAGAUUGGUUUCACAGGUCGGCAUAACAUCAAAGACCAAAGGGCCUGUCCUGCGCUGCGUUGUUCUAUGUUCUAAACAUUACAGUGGGAUUAAAUCAGCUUAGUUUCAUUGGUAUUGAAACUUAGAAACGAUUUAUGUUAAACAAAUGGGCAACUGCUAAUUAAGAAAAGCCAGCAUAACCUUAAGGGGAUAUUGUAUCUCGCUAAAUUCUUGGCAUUGUCAAAGGGAUAACCAAGAAGAUUAAUCAACCCUAUGCUAUUGAUAUAAUGUACCGAACAUCCAAAAGGCAUUUGACAGUGUGAUUCACAAGAUUGUGAGCAAAGUUAGAACUCAUGGAA
Hemiscyllium ocellatum (epaulette shark) is the source of this 5702-nucleotide long non-coding RNA. RefSeq lists it as uncharacterized. The record is from RefSeq and is a predicted model, not a curated record. The transcript has 3 exons. Lineage: Eukaryota; Metazoa; Chordata; Chondrichthyes; Orectolobiformes; Hemiscylliidae.